Epinephelus moara (kelp grouper) is the source of this 4462-nucleotide long non-coding RNA. RefSeq lists it as uncharacterized. The transcript is spliced from 3 exons. The record is from RefSeq and is a predicted model, not a curated record. NCBI's taxonomy places the organism in Eukaryota, Metazoa, Chordata, Actinopteri, Perciformes, Serranidae.
ACCAAGGUGAACAAGUGAGUCUUAAGCAGUGAUUUAAAAGUGGAGAGGCUAUUCGCCGUCCGCACAGUGGAUGGUAAUGCAUUCCACAGAGUGGGAGCCGCGACUGCAAAAGCUCGAUCCCCUCUAGUUUUUAAGAGUGAUCGAGAAACAUCCAAGACCAUCUGAUUCGCUGAUCUGAGGGCUCUGGAGGGCUGAUGCAACUUAAUAAGGUCAGAUAGGUAUUCCGGAGCCAGCCCAUUCAGAGACUUAAAAACAAAUAAAAGAAUCUUAAAAUCAAUCCUGUACCUAACCGGAAGCCAGUGAAGUGAAGAGAGCACUGGAGUUACAUGCUCGUGUUUCUUUGUCCCAGUUAGGAGACGAGCUGCUGCAUUUUGAACAAGCUGCAGGCAGUUAAGCUCUGACUGCUCAAUGCCGACAUACAGGGUGUUGCAAUAAUCUAACCGAGAGGUAAUAAAAGCAUGGAUAACUUUUUCAAGGUCUUUCUGGCUUAGAUAGGGUUUAACUUUGGCUAGAAGCCUCUGCUGAAAAAAGCUAGACUUGACCACUGAGCUGACCUGUUUGUCUAGCUUAAAAGCACCAUCAAUAAUCACACCAAGAUUCCUAGUGUGGGAUCCCAUGUAAGGUGCUAGUGGGCCCAUGGAGCUGGCAAGGACCUGAACCAGAUCAGGGCGACCAAACAGGACAACCUCUGUCUUGUUUUCAUUCAGUUUUAAGAAGUUUAAGUCCAUCCAUGUUUUAAUGUCACUUACGCAGUUUAGCACGGCCUGAAGGGAAUCUUUGGAAGGAAUCUUUAACGGCAAAUACACUGUUUUAAAUAGUAUGAUUUAAACCAACUUAAAACAGUGCCUUUUAUACCUACACAAUGCUCUAGGCGUGACAGGAGAAUUGUGUAUAUAUAUUUGGUCCGGGCGGGGGCUUGAACCGGCACCCCUCCGGUUCCCAAGCCAAGUCCCUAUGGACUGAGCUUCUGCUGCCCCAUCCCUACAAGGACCAUCACUGAGACCAACAAGCUGAUUCACAGUACAGCAACAGUAAUCAUGGAGAUGCUUGGAUACAAGACGGACAUGGUACAUAAGAACCAGUACCCUCCAUGGAAGAGACGGUUGGAGGCCAAGAUAAAGGCAACACAGAGAGAAGUUAGCCAACUAGCAGAGCUACACAGAGGUAACAUGGUGAAUAAAGGGGCAUCAAGGAAAUACAACAAGCUCUCCAUUCCUGAGGCACUCAAAACUGCCAAACAAAGACUAAAAAUCUGGCCACCCAGCUGAAGAGAUACACCAAAGAAGUAGAAGCCAGGAACAGGAUGUUCUCCACUGAACCAGCCAAGGUGUUCUCUCAGUGGCAGGGAAAUAACAGCAGGUCAGACCCAAAAAGAGAUGCAAACAUACUGGAAGGGCAUAUGGGAAAGAGAGGCAUCACACAAAACUGAUGCCAAUGGCUCGUGGACCUAAGAACUGGCCACAGCAACCUCCCUGAACAGGAACCAGUAACCAUCUCAAUGGCAGACAUCCAGGAAAGAGUGUCAAAGAUGAAGAGCUGGACAGCACCGGACCCUGAUAUGAUCCAUACUGGCUGAAGAAGCUAACUGCACUCCACGAACACCUAGCAACACAGCUGCUAAGGGAUGGGACCCACCCAGAAUGAUUGACACUGGGCAGGACAGUCCUGAUUAUGAAAGACCCCCAGAAGGGAACCAUCUCAUCCAACUACAGACCAAUAACCUGUCUCUAUACAACAUGGAAGCUCCUGUCAGGCAUCAUAGCAGCUAAGAUAACUAGGCAUAUGGUCCAAUACAUGAGCAAGGCACAGAAAGGAAUUGGCAGUAACACCAGAGGAGCCAGGCACCAGCUACUGGUCGACAGAGCAAUCGCCCAAGACCGCAAGAGCGGGAAGACCAACCUGUGCAUUGCCUGGAUUGACUACAAGAAAGCCUACGACUCAAUGCCACACACAUGGAUACUGGAAUGUCUGGAACUAUACAAGAUCAACAGAUCACUAACUGCCUUCAUAAAGAACUCCAUGGGAAUGUGGAAGAUGACCAUAGAGGCCAAUUCAAAGCCGUUUGCCCAAGUCAACAUCAAAUGCGGCAUAUACCAAGGGGAUGCACUGUCACAACUGCUGUUCUGCAUAGGCCUGAAUCCCCUCAGUCGGAUCAACAAGAGUGGCUAUGUGUGAGGGCUGACAUGUAGGGUGAGAGCACUGCCCUCUGUAGGUAGGGUCAGAGAGAGUUUCCUGCCUUUAUAAGGACAGGUGUGGGCAAUUAGUACCUCUUUGUCUGAAUCUAGUAGAUGUGUGGUAGGAUUGCCUGGUUUGGGCAGGUAAGGGAGAUCCUGGGAGAAACAUUGUUUGUAUUGUUUGAGUUGAAAUCUAAUGAGGUUUCUCAUAUUUAGGUGUAGUAGAGCUGUGUCCUGACUGAUCUUGGCUGAUGUAUGCUCUGUAACUCCAUGUUGAAGAGGUGACCAUAGAUAACUGCAAUUGUUUGGUUGUCUGUAGGCCUAUCAUUAAUAAUAUAAUAAUUUAAUCCUUUAGGGAAUUCAGCCCUUGUCUCCUCCUUGUAGGAGCCAGAGUAGUCAGCCUGCUGAUGUUCCCAGUGUCUCUUUUAAUCAGGGCCUCAGAGUGAGCAAGGUAACCUAAACUGGUGGGGUAAUGUAGGAGGGUCAGUCCCUCCAAAUUAUUUUUGCCAGUUGAAACGAUUUAGACCAUGUCUCCCUUAUUGCAGACUAAGUGCCAGACUGCUGCUUUGCCUGAACCAGUCCAUCUACAUUGUCUAGCCUAACUCGGCUACCAUAUUGAAUUGGAUUCAACCUUAGCUUUACUGUGAACUGUCCAGGAUUUGUACAGGCAGAAUCUCCCCGUGGUCUCCAGCAAUAAAAAUCUUAUUAUUAAAUAAAUAUUUUAAUGGUGAACUGAAUGCACAUGUCCUGCUCUCCUUGAACCUAUAAAGUUGUAUUGUGUCAACACGUAUGAAGUUGGGGCCUAUAAUGACCCUUAGGUUUAUAUAGACAUUGCAUUGGUUUUAAAUACUGUGUCUGACCACAUAUGGAUACCAAUUCCGAAGUGGAGUAACAAUCAGCCACCUGCUCUACAUGGAUGACAUCAAGCUGUACCCCAAGAAUGAAUGAGAAAUCAACUCACUGAUCCACACCACCAGGAUCUACAGCAAGGACAUAGGGAUGUCACAAGUGUGGCCGGAUGGUAUCAAAGAGAAGUAAGAUGAUCAGAACUGAGGGAGUUGACCUACCAGAGGGCAACAUAGGAGAUAUCCAGAACAGCUACAAGUACCUUGGGAUCCCACAGGCUAAUGGAAAUCAUGAGGAGGCUGCAAGGAAGUCGACCACAACCAAGUACCUCCAGAGAGUAAGGCAAGUCCUGAGAAGUCAGGGUCUGAGGCAGGGUCUUCAUUUAGGAUCCUUGCUGCUUGAGGGUGAAACUUUUCCCAAGCCUCUCAAUGCUGGCCUAAUAUAAUGGGUACCUUCCUUGGAUUUGACCUCAACAGGGAGAAAAGGCAGUUAUCCAGGUGGUUAGCCUAUUUAACGAUUCUCCUGGCCUUAUUUUUGCAGUGUCUGGUGCAAGCAUCCUUUAGGUAGAGCAGGCCUAUAGUAUAAUCAGUGUGUUAUAUAAUUUACAUUGAAAAGUUAAAAUGUGUACCUCAAUGCUGAUUAAGCAUUCACACUAUUGUGAUGCAAAUCUUGAUUCUCUUAUAAUUUCAGGAUUCUUUCAUAUGUUUUUGGACUUCUGCAUACUCUCAGCUAACUGUUCAAAUAUCAACAUGUACAGUUCAUUAAGGAAAUGUAUGCAUGCAUUUAACUCUUUUCUACCAUUUAAAUUUAUUAAAAUUUAGAAGCUUUUGAACCAUAUGGAGAGAAUCUUCAAAUCUUCUCAAACCUACUCCACAACUGUUACAAUCCCAGUUCACAUUUAAUGCUUUUUUUCAUACAUUUUCUGAGUUUCUGGGUGUGAAUUGACCUGCUUAGACUGGGUAAUAUCACUAGUGAUAUCACCCACUCUAAUUUGUCUCUGUCUAUUUGGUCUUCUUUUGGAUGAUGUGUCCAUUAAAGCAAUAGGAUUUCCUGUUUUUGAAUUUUCAGCAACAAGGGAUCCCUUUCCUGUCCCAUUAACUGUAAUGUUACCUCAGAUCAUUGAGUUUUGAAAUAAAACCCAAAUGGAGAGAUUUUUAAAAUUGUGUUUUCUCAGUUGCUUUUUUACUUUAUCCAUACAAUGACAUGUCUAUGUCUUCAGCAAAGUUUUUGCAAUACAACUUAAGUUUUCAAAUUUGGAUGUCUUUUUCAAAUGAAUGUCAUCCUGGCUCCCCCUUGCUGUUAUAACUAGUGAUUCACCACUUUCACACAGAAACCCGGAUGAUGCUAAUUAGCUGAUUAGACCUUUAUGAGUUUCUGCCUGUGUCUGAUUGGUGCAUCAUCAUCAUCUGUUUUUGGGAUCUCUGUUUCUACUAUUUUAAUUA